RNAcentral lists this long non-coding RNA (491 nucleotides) under Prunus persica (peach). RNAcentral describes it as "long non-coding RNA (PPER_LNC002560)". The record is from RNAcentral. Lineage: Eukaryota; Viridiplantae; Streptophyta; Magnoliopsida; Rosales; Rosaceae.
UGUAAUCAAAACUUCUGGUUUUGAAUUAAGAAUGUCGUUGCAAAUAGUUCAGAUUUUUAUAAUCUCAAAUUCAAUUUUGUAUUUCGAAUAAGUAUACUGAAACUUCUAGCUUCAACUAAUUAUUUAACAUGGAACUUCUGGUCCAAAUGAGAUAUAAAUAAAUAAUUCACAAAGACAAUAAAGUAGUACUAAUUAAAAAACAAAAAAACAAUAAUAAUAACACUAAGUUCUAAAAAUAAAAAUAAAAUAUGAAUCAUAAAAUAGAAGGUUAUAAGAUAAAUUGAAUUUAUCAAACGUUAGGUUCUAAGAUCAAUUGAAUUUAUAGAAUUACAUGUUCUAAUAUGAACAUAUUCGUAAAUUUCUAUUAUAAACUAAAAAUUUUAAAAGGUUUCGAACUUCAAGUUUUAAAGUAUAGAACUUCGGGUUCUAGCAAGUUACAUAACAAAAAGAAAAAAAUUGCCUAUAGAUUGAAUUUGAUCUUGAACAUCAUG